UAACCUGCCUGGUAGCGGGGGGUAACUAUUGGAAACGAUAGCUAAUACCGCAUAACAGUCGACAUUGCAUGAUGUUGAUUUGAGAGGGGCAAUUGCUCCACUACCAGAUGGACCUGCGUUGUAUUAGCUAGUUGGUGAGGUAACGGCUCACCAAGGCGACGAUACAUAGCCGACCUGAGAGGGUGAUCGGCCACACUGGGACUGAGACACGGCCCAG
This 217-nucleotide ribosomal RNA is filed under the name uncultured bacterium. RNAcentral's name for it is "partial 16S ribosomal RNA". It matches the Rfam family "Bacterial small subunit ribosomal RNA", at positions 122 to 334 of the family's 1533-position model. The record is from RNAcentral.